This 76-nucleotide transfer RNA is filed under the name Clostridium sp. CAG:1219. RNAcentral describes it as "transfer RNA-Lys(TTT)". It matches the Rfam family "tRNA". From Rfam's summary of the family: Transfer RNA (tRNA) molecules are approximately 80 nucleotides in length. Their secondary structure includes four short double-helical elements and three loops (D, anti-codon, and T loops). The record is from RNAcentral. RNAcentral also lists the same sequence under 5 other names. Lineage: Bacteria; Bacillati; Bacillota; Clostridia; Eubacteriales; Clostridiaceae.
GGGCCAUUAGCUCAGUUGGCAGAGCACUUGACUUUUAAUCAAGUUGUCCGCAGUUCGAAUCUGCGAUGGCUCACCA